GAUGAACGCUGGCGGCGUGCUUAACACAUGCAAGUCGAACGGAAAGGCCAGUGCUUGCACUGGUACUCGAGUGGCGAACGGGUGAGUAACACGUGGGUGAUCUGCCCUGCACUUCGGGAUAAGCUUGGGAAACUGGGUCUAAUACCGGAUAGGACCACUUCGUUGUUGUUGUGGUGGAAAGUUUUUUCGGUGUGGGAUGAGCUCGCGGCCUAUCAGCUUGUUGGUGGGGUAAUGGCCUACCAAGGCGUCGACGGGUAGCCGGCCUGAGAGGGUGUACGGCCACAUUGGGACUGAGAUACGGCCCAGACUCCUACGGGAGGCAGCAGUGGGGAAUAUUGCACAAUGGGCGGAAGCCUGAUGCAGCGACGCCGCGUGGGGGAUGACGGCCUUCGGGUUGUAAACUCCUUUCGCCAAAGACGAAUUUUGACGGUAUUUGGAGAAGAAGCACCGGCUAACUACGUGCCAGCAGCCGCGGUAAUACGUAGGGUGCGAGCGUUGUCCGGAAUUACUGGGCGUAAAGAGCUCGUAGGUGGUUUGUCGCGUCGUUUGUGUAAGCCCAUGGCUUAACUGUGGGACUGCAGGCGAUACGGGCAUAACUUGAGUGCUGUAGGGGAGGCUGGAAUUCCUGGUGUAGCGGUGAAAUGCGCAGAUAUCAGGAGGAACACCGAUGGCGAAGGCAGGUCUCUGGGCAGUUACUGACGCUGAGGAGCGAAAGCAUGGGGAGCGAACAGGAUUAGAUACCCUGGUAGUCCAUGCCGUAAACGGUGGGCGCCAGGUGUGAGUCCCUUCCACGGGGUUCGUGCCGUAGCUAACGCAUUAAGCGCCCCGCCUGGGGAGUACGGCCGCAAGGCUAAAACUCAAAGGAAUUGACGGGGGCCCGCACAAGCGGCGGAGCAUGUGGAUUAAUUCGAUGCAACGCGAAGAACCUUACCUGGGCUUGACAUACACCGGAUCGCUGCAGAGAUGUAGUUUCCCUUGUGGCUGGUGUACAGGUGGUGCAUGGUUGUCGCCAGCUCGUGUCGUGAGAUGUUGGGUUAAGUCCCGCAACGAGCGCAACCCUUGUCUUAUGUUGCCAGCAUUUGGUUGGGGACUCAUGAGAGACUGCCGGGGUUAACUCGGAGGAAGGUGGGGAUGACGUCAAAUCAUCAUGCCCCUUAUGUCCAGGGCUUCACACAUGCUACAAUGGUCGGUACAACGCGCAGCGAGCCUGUGAGGGUGAGCGAAUCGCUGAAAGCCGGUCGUAGUUCGGAUUGGGGUCUGCAACUCGACCCCAUGAAGUCGGAGUCGCUAGUAAUCGCAGAUCAGCAACGCUGCGGUGAAUACGUUCCCGGGCCU
RNAcentral lists this ribosomal RNA (1335 nucleotides) under uncultured bacterium. Its description in RNAcentral is "bacterial SSU rRNA". It matches the Rfam family "Bacterial small subunit ribosomal RNA", at positions 28 to 1381 of the family's 1533-position model. The record is from RNAcentral.